UGGAGGUGGCAGUAUUAACAGUGGUUGGAUGGGGAGGUAUUAGCAGUGGUUGGAGGUGGCAGUAUUGGCUGUGGUUGGAGGUGGCAGUAUUAGCUGUGGUUGGAGGUGGCAGUAUUGGCUGUGGUUGGAGGUGGCAGUAUUAGCUGUGGUUGGAGGUGGCAGUAUUAGCUGUGGGUGGAGGUGGCAGUAUUAACAGUGGUUGGAUGGGGAGGUAUUAGCAGUGGUUGGAGGUGGCAGUAUUGGCUGUGGUUGGAGG
This is a long non-coding RNA of Oncorhynchus tshawytscha (Chinook salmon), 256 nucleotides long. Lineage: Eukaryota; Metazoa; Chordata; Actinopteri; Salmoniformes; Salmonidae. The record is from Ensembl.